UUGAACGCUGGCGGCAGGCCUAACACAUGCCAGUCGAACGGUAACAGCAAGCAGCUUGCUGCUUUGCUGACGAGUGGCGGACGGGUGAGUAAUGUCUGGGAAACUGCCUGAUGGAGGGGGAUAACUACUGGAAACGGUAGCUAAUACCGCAUAACGUCGCAAGACCAAAGAGGGGGACCUUCGGGCCUCUUGCCAUCGGAUGUGCCCAGAUGGGAUUAGCUAGUAGGUGGGGUAAAGGCUCACCUAGGCGACGAUCCCUAGCUGGUCUGAGAGGAUGACCAGCCACACUGGAACUGAGACACGGUCCAGACUCCUACGGGAGGCAGCAGUGGGGAAUAUUGCACAAUGGGCGCAAGCCUGAUGCAGCCAUGCCGCGUGUAUGAAGAAGGCCUUCGGGUUGUAAAGUACUUUCAGCGGGGAGGAAGGGAGUAAAGUUAAUACCUUGGCUCAUUGACGUUACCCGCAGAAGAAGCACCGGCUAACUCCGUG
This 489-nucleotide ribosomal RNA is filed under the name uncultured bacterium. RNAcentral's name for it is "partial 16S ribosomal RNA". It matches the Rfam family "Bacterial small subunit ribosomal RNA", at positions 30 to 507 of the family's 1533-position model. The record is from RNAcentral.